AACGAACGCUGGCGGCAUGCCUAACACAUGCAAGUCGAACGGGAUCCUAGCUUGCUAGGUGAGAGUGGCGGACGGGUGAGUAACACGUGGGAAUCUGCCUUUUGGUUCGGGAUAACCGCGGGAAACUGCGGCUAAUACCGAAUGCCCUGAGAGAGGAAAGAUUUAUCGCCAGAAGAGGAGCCCGCGUCCGAUUAGGUAGUUGGUGGGGUAAAGCCUACCAAGCCGACGAUCGGUAGCUGGUCUGAGAGGAUGAUCAGCCACACUGGACUGAGAUACGGCCCAGACUCCUACGGGAGGCAGCAGUGGGAAUAUUGGACAAUGGGGCAACCCUGAUCCAGCAAUGCCGCGUGAGUGAUG
Molecule: ribosomal RNA, 357 nt
Filed under: uncultured bacterium
Lineage: Bacteria
Description: bacterial SSU rRNA
Rfam family: Bacterial small subunit ribosomal RNA
Source: RNAcentral